AGGGAUCAUUACCGAGUUUACAACUCCCAAACCCCUGUGAACAUACCACUUGUUGCCUCGGCGGAUCAGCCCGCUCCCGGUAAAACGGGACGGCCCGCCAGAGGACCCCUAAACUCUGUUUCUAUAUGUAACUUCUGAGUAAAACCAUAAAUAAAUCAAAACUUUCAACAACGGAUCUCUUGGUUCUGGCAUCGAUGAAGAACGCAGCAAAAUGCGAUAAGUAAUGUGAAUUGCAGAAUUCAGUGAAUCAUCGAAUCUUUGAACGCACAUUGCGCCCGCCAGUAUUCUGGCGGGCAUGCCUGUUCGAGCGUCAUUUCAACCCUCAAGCACAGCUUGGUGUUGGGACUCGCGUUAAUUCGCGUUCCUCAAAUUGAUUGGCGGUCACGUCGAGCUUCCAUAGCGUAGUAGUAAAACCCUCGUUACUGAUAAUCGUCGCGGCCACGCCGUUAAACCCCAACUUCUGAAUGUUGACCUCGGAUCAGGUAGGAAUACCCGCUGAACUUAA
RNAcentral lists this ribosomal RNA (505 nucleotides) under Fusarium oxysporum. RNAcentral's name for it is "eukaryotic LSU rRNA". The stretch from base 160 to 313 matches the Rfam family "5.8S ribosomal RNA". Lineage: Eukaryota; Fungi; Ascomycota; Sordariomycetes; Hypocreales; Nectriaceae. The record is from RNAcentral.